This 492-nucleotide ribosomal RNA is filed under the name uncultured bacterium. RNAcentral describes it as "partial 16S ribosomal RNA". It matches the Rfam family "Bacterial small subunit ribosomal RNA", at positions 29 to 507 of the family's 1533-position model. The record is from RNAcentral.
AGUGAACGCUGGCGGUAGGCCUAACACAUGCAAGUCGAACGGCAGCACAGUAAGAGCUUGCUCUUACGGGUGGCGAGUGGCGGACGGGUGAGGAAUACAUCGGAAUCUACUUUUUCGUGGGGGAUAACGUAGGGAAACUUACGCUAAUACCGCAUACGACCUACGGGUGAAAGCAGGGGAUCUUCGGACCUUGCGCGAUUGAAUGAGCCGAUGUCGGAUUAGCUAGUUGGCGGGGUAAAGGCCCACCAAGGCGACGAUCCGUAGCUGGUCUGAGAGGAUGAUCAGCCAAACUGGAACUGAGACACGGUCCAGACUCCUACGGGAGGCAGCAGUGGGGAAUAUUGGACAAUGGGCGCAAGCCUGAUCCAGCCAUACCGCGUGGGUGAAGAAGGCCUUCGGGUUGUAAAGCCCUUUUGCUGGGAAAGAAAAGCAGCAGGUUAAUACCCCGCUGUUCUGACGGUACCCAAAGAAUAAGCACCGGCUAACUUCGUG